This 1991-nucleotide long non-coding RNA is filed under the name Homo sapiens (human). RNAcentral's name for it is "HSALNT0296757". The record is from RNAcentral. Lineage: Eukaryota; Metazoa; Chordata; Mammalia; Primates; Hominidae.
CGUCACCACAGCUUCAGGCCUGGGGGGCUUCGGCCACUGAGAUGAGGGGUUCAGGCCAGGUUUCAGAGUCCCACCAGGCCUCCCUCUUGCAACAGAAGGAAAGUCCACACUGAGGAGGAUCAUGGCCUGCUACGGUCGAAGUGCAAGGCACGCGUCAGAAGCAGUGGCUCCUUCUGCAGCAGGACUCACCUACUGACUCAGAAGGACGUCCUCCAGGGACAGCCAGCUCCUCCUCUGAGCGCACAGCCCAUGUCCUCUGCUGUGCGCUCCUCGCGCGAACCGACCCCACCUCGGACCGGAAGCCACCUUGGGCUGGAGGAUGCCAUGAAGUCUCUCUGGUUCAACGUGCAUGCACCGUCUCACUUAACCUGGGUUACUCUGUAUGAGUUGCACAGAAAAGGCCAACAUGGACAUCUGAGGACAGACAGCACAGGAGUACAGGAACUAAUGCAAAUUGCAUGUGAAUGACAUCCCCAUGCAGGCCACUACUGACCACACUUACCCUCCCAUUUCACACACCUGCUUGGGACUAUCCUUCCUGGAGGCCACUGGAACUUCUGGAGCCACCUGCAGCACUUCUGAUGCAUUUCCUAGAAGCUUUUGCACCUGCAAGAGAAACGAGGUUGAAGCAGUGUUGCAGUGUUGGUAUUGCUGUGGUGUGACUUUGUUCUAGUUUAGGUUUAACAAAGUUAAACAAUAUACAUCCAGAUCCACGUUGAUAUGCUGGACAUAAGAUUGGGUUGUGUUUAGCUCUGAGUCACGCCCUGAAGAAACCCCUGCGAGGCAUCCUGUUUGCCUCUGUGAGUGGAGCGAGGGAGCCAGCUCCCUGAAUCAGCCCAUCUCCGAGGUGGCUCCGAACAUUGUUGCUGGAAGCUUAGAGUCCAGCCUUAUUCUCUAGUCCUUCCAACAAUUAAACCAGCUGAAUGUGGAUUCUCUUUGCAACUGAGAACCUAACUGACAGAGCUGGCCGCAUGUUCCUGGUCAUUGUAGAUCUUUGGGGAUGCCCAGGUGUGCAGAGGUAACUCCUGGUUGGUGACCCAUGAGGACACUUCCUAUGCAAACAUCAAGGAUGUCUACUUCGUGCCAUGUCGUGAAUUCUCAGGCACAGGCUUCCUGAGCAUCUACCAUGCGUCAAGCACUCUGCAAGGCACCAAAGGCACACAGGUAAUUAAGACAUGGUGCUGGCUCCUGGGAACUCACCAUCCAUGAGGCUCACAGAGGCAUCAUUUGACCAUUUUAGCACAAGAUGGGUGGGCAGGUGUUCCUAAGAGCUGCCCCUCCAUCCAAUGGGACAUGGCCUGUGGCUCUCCAGUGUCCACAAAAUGAACAAAGUGCAGCCGAGCUUGAGGUCCUGCGGUCCUUGAGGAUGAUCUGAACCCACGCAGCUGAUGGAGCCUUCGGAGGACACAGAGCCCUAGGCGGGAGUAGGACCUCAGAGAGGAGCAGCCAUGUGGGGGUCCCAGAUUCUCAGAACAUCCUCCGUCACUGGGGUGGCUCAUCCAUGGCAGAGCUGGCUGACCUCAAGUCACCCUAAGGACUGGAAACGGGUGUCUCAGUGGUGAGCAGUGCAGACAGGCCCAAGGCAAGACCCAGUCUCUUGUUCUUUCUCUACAGCCUGUGAGUAUGUGUGCAAGAGAGUGUGUGUUGGGGGAACAGCCCUGAAAAAAGAGGGGCUCUAAUUUCUUCCUUGCUUGGCAGGGUGAGCGCUCAGAGUGAAAGCUAAGUUGCUUUACUGGUUAUCAAGGCAGCAGAAUAACUGGGAUUAUCAUACAUUGGGGUAGGAGUAGAAAAUGAGACACCCACUCUAGAAAAGAAAGUGUUUCCUGCACACUGGAAUUUGUAAAGUGCAUCAUAUUCAUGACAAGGAAUCCUCAUGAUACCGUAAUGCCAUUGUCAAAUAGCUAUGUUGACUCUCAUCUUGUAGAUGAAGAAUCAAGGCUCAGAGAAAAUCUCUCAAGCUGGCCGCAGGGCUGUUUCCACUGUGCCUGCUC